This 253-nucleotide ribosomal RNA is filed under the name uncultured bacterium. Its description in RNAcentral is "partial 16S ribosomal RNA". It matches the Rfam family "Bacterial small subunit ribosomal RNA", at positions 524 to 776 of the family's 1533-position model. The record is from RNAcentral.
UACGGGGGGUGCAAGCGUUGUUCGGAAUCAUUGGGCGUAAAGAGCGUGUAGGCGGCUUGAUAAGUCGGAUGUGAAAGCCCUGGGCUCAACCCGGGAAGUGCAUUUGAAACUGUCAGGCUCGAGUAGGGGAGAGGGAAGUGGAAUUCCUGGUGUAGAGGUGAAAUUCGUAGAUAUCAGGAGGAACACCGGUGGCGAAGGCGACUUCCUGGCCCUAUACUGACGCUGAGACGCGAGAGCGUGGGUAGCAAACAGG